RNAcentral lists this ribosomal RNA (440 nucleotides) under uncultured bacterium. Its description in RNAcentral is "partial 16S ribosomal RNA". It matches the Rfam family "Bacterial small subunit ribosomal RNA", at positions 338 to 795 of the family's 1533-position model. The record is from RNAcentral.
CCUACGGGUGGCUGCAGUGGGGGAUAUUGCACAAUGGGGGAAACCCUGAUGCAGCGACGCCGCGUGUGGGAAGACGGUCCUCUGGAUUGUAAACUACUGUCGCCAGGGACGAAGAUGAGGGUACCGUGUGAUGAAGCUCCGGCGAACUACGUACCAGCAGCCGCGCGAAUAGGUAGGGGGCAAGGGUAUUCCGGAAUUACUGGGUGUAAAGGGAGCGGAGGGGGAGUGGCAAGUUGGGUGUUAAAUCUACGGGUGAAACUGGUAGUUGCACUCAAAAAUGGUAAUCGUUAGUACAGUAGAGGGAGGCGGAAUUCCUAGUGUAGCGGUGAAAUGCUUAGAUAUUAGGAGGAACACCAAUUGCGAAGGCGGCCUACUGAGCUUUUACUGACGCUGAGGCUCGAAAGUGUGGGGAGCAAACAGGAUUAGAUACCCUGGUAGUC